Molecule: ribosomal RNA, 465 nt
Filed under: uncultured bacterium
Lineage: Bacteria
Description: partial 16S ribosomal RNA
Rfam family: Bacterial small subunit ribosomal RNA
Source: RNAcentral
GACGAACGCUGGCGGCGUGCUUAACACAUGCAAGUCGAACGGAAAGGCCCCUUUGGGGGUACUCGAGUGGCGAACGGGUGAGUAACACGUGAGUAACCUGCCCUUGACUUCGGGAUAACUUCAGGAAACUGGGGCUAAUACCGGAUAGGAAUCCUUGCUGCAUGGUGGGGGUUGGAAAGCUUCGGCGGUUUUGGAUGGACUCGCGGCUUAUCAGCUUGUUGGUGGGGUAGUGGCUUACCAAGGCUUUGACGGGUAGCCGGCCUGAGAGGGCGACCGGCCACAUUGGGACUGAGAUACGGCCCAGACUCCUACGGGAGGCAGCAGUGGGGAAUAUUGCACAAGGGGCGGAAGCCUGAUGCAGCAACGCCGCGGGCGGGAUGACGGCCUUCGGGUUGUAAACCGCUUUCAGCAGGGGCGAAGCUUGUGGUGACGGUACCUGCAGAAGAAGCACCGGCUAACUACGUG